UCGCAUUGCUCCCCGUCAGAAACCCUAGAUCAGAUCCAGGACGAAUGGCCGAUACCGUAGUUCCGAUUCUGGAGACGACAGGAUGGAUAUUGCGUCCCCCAAAGAACAUGAUGAUGAAAGUGAGUAUUUUGCUUCAUGGGUAGUUAGGAAGCAACUAUACCCGGAGACUGUCAACUGGAUACCGCCGGUUCGGAUCUUCCGGUACACAGCUAUCUUUGAGGAGGCCUGGGGUUGGGACCGGCUACUGCCACAUACCAGUGUUCCGAUCCCCACGUAUUUGGAGUACCUGACGGAGUAUCACAAGCGCAAUCGCAUGGAUUACGUUGCUGCUGCCGCUGGCAACUCAAAACCUGAAGACUGGCCGCUCAAAUACCGAGCAGUGAAUAAUGAUACCCAAUUCGACCCGGAUGCGUCACUUGUAGAUGCCGCCCAGUUUUGUCUGAAAAUGGAGGAGCGUUUCAUGUUGGCAUGGAAUAACAAACGCGUCCGCAAUGUGAAACAUCUGAGCCAAUUGAUACAGGAGCGAGCCCGUGCCAUCAUCUCCACUAGUGAAGAAUUCUCUGAAACUGCUGCUGCUAGCUUGGUGUGUAUCUCCAAUGAGGCUGUUUUGGCGUCUGAGCUUCUGCACCGUUGGGCUAAAUCCACUGACGAGGAAAUCAGAUUAUGCAACCUCAUCCGCCACUGUGCACUGAAUUUAAUGCACAUUACUGGGCCUGAAUCUGCUGCCUCCAUUGCUGCCAUGGUGGUCUGUGCAUGCAUUCCCAAACACAGAGCUUUACUUGUAGUUUUCUAUGUUUCGUGCUAACUUCGAGUUGUUGUUUUUAACUUUCAAGGGUGUUGCUAAGGAGGCCAGGCUAAUGUGCCAGUGGAUGGGGCAAACAAAGAAACUUUAUGCCUACCGCUCUUACAAUCAUCCACCCCAUGAGAUGUAUCUUUGCGACAUGAUCCGUGAGGCCGUCCUUAAGGUUAUGAGCCACGUACUGAACAAUUACUCAAGGGGCAACAAUACUUACAUGGUAAUGGAUUUUCAAAAGAAGAACAGGAAGCGAAAGACCAAGGUGGAAACCUCAGAUGACGAGUUAUCACAGGCGUCACUUGAUGAACAGGCGCCACUUGAUGAACGGUCACCAAAAGCCAAUGCGGUAACCUUAAAUGAGAAGUAUCACAGACGGUCUUUCCUCCUGUUGUAAACAAAACUGGCAUCCAGAUUGAACAGGCGCCACUUGGUGAACGAGAGAAGUACAUUGUUGAGCUGGAAAGGAAGUUGAGUGAAAGGGAUAGAGAAUUGGAAGCUUUGAAGUUUGAUCAUAAAAAGGCAGGAUCUUCUUGCAGUGCAGACGAAAGAGCUUGCAAAAGACAGGUACGUCUGUUGCCUUUUGGUGCUUUCCCCUCGAAAAGGAAAUUCACAGUUCAGAUUAGUUGUGCAGCUUAUAUACCUUAAUAGUUUAAAGUAUCCAGAGCUGUGGUACUGGGAAUUAUGAAGUUGGCUGUUGUUGUGAUAACCUUGCUAUGUAUGUUUUUGGACAAAAUGAACCAACACACCGCAUGUUAGUUUUGAGGUAUAACCUUGCUGAAGAAUGAUGAUUGUAGUGCCAUGGAGCGCGAAGCGAGGAUGCUCAGGGAGAACACCUACUUUGAUGUGGAUCUGUGCAGCGGCGGACGAUGCUACCGCAAGCUGAUGGUGCCUGGGCUUAGUGGAGGAUGUUUGGGACCUUGUUUGUGCGUUUUAUCUUCAGCUCUGAGCAUCCCCUUUCUUUCAGACUUUAUUCUCUAUUGCUGGUGUCGUCGGCUUUUCGCCCCAUAACAAUUGUUUUGAUGGUGAGCAUUUGCAGUGGGUUUCCUUGUGAUGCUUUUUACUCGCUCCCCCGUUUCUUAGAGCAUCUCUAGCAGAUCCGGUAUAUGCCUGUCCUGUAAAAUCGUUUUAUCCCACGCCAAUUCCCAUCAUAUGCCAAACAAGGGAAUGGGAGUAAAAAUCUACUUCCCAUGCCUAAUCCCUUCAUAAACACCCUUGUGCAAACUCCUAUGCCCUUGCCCAAGUGUUUACCAAACAGGCUGUUAGGGUAUACCUCAAAACGUUUUUUAUGAGUUUUUUGUGUAUGAUAUGUGUGAGGGCAGAGAUCUUUUUAAAUUUUUUUGACUCAAAACAAAGGUUGCAAUCGGGACCUUUUCCUCCUCUUUCUCUGGUCCUCUUCCUCCUCCCGACUGGAGUGCAGCACAGGGGAGGUCGUUGGCGCCAGGGGAGUGGUGGCCAUGUCCUCACGCCUACUAGACCAGCGCGAGGUUGCCGGGGAUGUGAGGUGCGUUGCCAGUGAGCCUCCGAGGUGCGAUGCUAGUGAGCUUCAAGGCGGACGGCCAUCAUGGCAUGGUGGGAGAUGAGCAGGGUGAGCUUCUCUUGCCAAAUUGGCUUGGGCAAAGCGACG
RNAcentral lists this ribosomal RNA (2420 nucleotides) under Triticum aestivum (bread wheat). RNAcentral's name for it is "partial small subunit ribosomal RNA". Lineage: Eukaryota; Viridiplantae; Streptophyta; Magnoliopsida; Poales; Poaceae. The record is from RNAcentral.